Molecule: transfer RNA, 57 nt
Filed under: Rattus norvegicus (Norway rat)
Lineage: Eukaryota; Metazoa; Chordata; Mammalia; Rodentia; Muridae
Rfam family: tRNA
About the family: Transfer RNA (tRNA) molecules are approximately 80 nucleotides in length. Their secondary structure includes four short double-helical elements and three loops (D, anti-codon, and T loops).
Source: Rfam by way of RNAcentral
UGGCUCAGUGGUUAGAGCACUGGCUGCUCUUCCAGAGGUCCUGGGUUCAAUUCCCAG